This 254-nucleotide ribosomal RNA is filed under the name uncultured bacterium. RNAcentral describes it as "partial 16S ribosomal RNA". It matches the Rfam family "Bacterial small subunit ribosomal RNA", at positions 524 to 776 of the family's 1533-position model. The record is from RNAcentral.
UACGUAGGGUGCAAGCGUUGUCCGGAAUUAUUGGGCGUAAAGAGCUCGUAGGCGGUGUGUCACGUCGGCCGUGAAAACCUGCAGCUUAACUGUGGGCGUGCGGUCGAUACGGGCAUCACUGGAGUUCGGCAGGGGAGACUGGAAUUCCUGGUGUAGCGGUGAAAUGCGCAGAUAUCAGGAGGAACACCGGUGGCGAAGGCGGAUCUCUGGGCCGUAACUGACGCUGAGGAGCGAAAGCAUGGGGAGCGAACAGG